GCGCCGGACCGCAUACAAGUCUGUUGGAAUACAGCGUCAUAGUGGUGAGAGCCCCGUAACUGAUGCGGAUGCCCGGUGCUUUGUGAUACACUUUCGAAGAGUCGAGUUGUUUGGGAAUGCAGCUCAAAUUGGGUGGUAAAUUCCAUCUAAAGCUAAAUAUUGGCGAGAGACCGAUAGCGAACAAGUACCGUGAGGGAAAGAUGAAAAGCACUUUGGAAAGAGAGUUAACAGUACGUGAAAUUGUUGGAAGGGAAACGCUUGAAGUCAGACUUGCUAUUCGGAAUUCAGCCGCAAGGUGUACUUUUCGAUUUGCAGGCCAGCAUCAGUUUUCGGGGGUGGAAAAGGGUUGGAGGAAGGUAGCAAUCUCGGUUGUGUUAUAGCCUCCAGCUGGAUUCAUCUUUGGGGACUGAGGAACGCAGCACGCUUUUUGCAAAGCUCUCGAGCUUUUCGUGCUUAGGAUGCUGGUGGAAUGGCUUUAAACGACCCGUCUUGA
This 493-nucleotide ribosomal RNA is filed under the name Camptobasidium arcticum. RNAcentral describes it as "Pucciniomycotina sp. LP-2020a partial large subunit ribosomal RNA". It matches the Rfam family "Eukaryotic large subunit ribosomal RNA", at positions 167 to 657 of the family's 3401-position model. The record is from RNAcentral. Lineage: Eukaryota; Fungi; Basidiomycota; Microbotryomycetes; Kriegeriales; Camptobasidiaceae.